Molecule: ribosomal RNA, 1491 nt
Filed under: metagenome
Description: bacterial SSU rRNA
Rfam family: Bacterial small subunit ribosomal RNA
Source: RNAcentral
AGAGUUUGAUCCUGGCUCAGAUUGAACGCUGGCGGCAUGCCUUACACAUGCAAGUCGAACGGCAGCACGAGAGCUUGCUCUUGGUGGCGAGUGGCGAACGGGUGAGUAAUAUAUCGGAACGUACCCUAGAGUGGGGGAUAACGUAGCGAAAGUUACGCUAAUACCGCAUACGAUCUACGGAUGAAAGUGGGGGAUCGCAAGACCUCAUGCUCAUGGAGCGGCCGAUAUCUGAUUAGCUAGUUGGUGGGGUAAAAGCUCACCAAGGCGACGAUCAGUAGCUGGUCUGAGAGGACGACCAGCCACACUGGAACUGAGACACGGUCCAGACUCCUACGGGAGGCAGCAGUGGGGAAUUUUGGACAAUGGGCGCAAGCCUGAUCCAGCAAUGCCGCGUGAGUGAAGAAGGCCUUCGGGUUGUAAAGCUCUUUUGUCAGGGAAGAAACGGUGGACUCUAAUACAGAUCACUAAUGACGGUACCUGAAGAAUAAGCACCGGCUAACUACGUGCCAGCAGCCGCGGUAAUACGUAGGGUGCAAGCGUUAAUCGGAAUUACUGGGCGUAAAGCGUGCGCAGGCGGUAGUGCAAGACAGAUGUGAAAUCCCCGGGCUCAACCUGGGAAUUGCAUUUGUGACUGCACGGCUAGAGUGUGUCAGAGGGGGGUAGAAUUCCACGUGUAGCAGUGAAAUGCGUAGAGAUGUGGAGGAAUACCGAUGGCGAAGGCAGCCCCCUGGGAUAACACUGACGCUCAUGCACGAAAGCGUGGGGAGCAAACAGGAUUAGAUACCCUGGUAGUCCACGCCCUAAACGAUGUCUACUAGUUGUCGGGUCUUAAUUGACUUGGUAACGCAGCUAACGCGUGAAGUAGACCGCCUGGGGAGUACGGUCGCAAGAUUAAAACUCAAAGGAAUUGACGGGGACCCGCACAAGCGGUGGAUGAUGUGGAUUAAUUCGAUGCAACGCGAAAAACCUUACCUACCCUUGACAUGUCUGGAAUCCUUGAGAGAUCAGGGAGUGCUCGAAAGAGAAUCAGAACACAGGUGCUGCAUGGCUGUCGUCAGCUCGUGUCGUGAGAUGUUGGGUUAAGUCCCGCAACGAGCGCAACCCUUGUCAUUAGUUGCUACGAAAGGGCACUCUAAUGAGACUGCCGGUGACAAACCGGAGGAAGGUGGGGAUGACGUCAAGUCCUCAUGGCCCUUAUGGGUAGGGCUUCACACGUCAUACAAUGGUACAUACAGAGGGCCGCCAACCCGCGAGGGGGAGCUAAUCCCAGAAAGUGUAUCGUAGUCCGGAUUGUAGUCUGCAACUCGACUACAUGAAGUUGGAAUCGCUAGUAAUCGCGGAUCAGCAUGUCGCGGUGAAUACGUUCCCGGGUCUUGUACACACCGCCCGUCACACCAUGGGAGCGGGUUUCACCAGAAGUGGGUAGCCUAACCGCAAGGAGGGCGCUCACCACGGUGGGAUUCGUGACUGGGGUGAAGUCGUAACAAGGUA